This is a long non-coding RNA of Vicia villosa (hairy vetch), 748 nucleotides long. RefSeq lists it as uncharacterized. The transcript is spliced from 2 exons. The record is from RefSeq and is a predicted model, not a curated record. NCBI's taxonomy places the organism in Eukaryota, Viridiplantae, Streptophyta, Magnoliopsida, Fabales, Fabaceae.
AUAGGAAAGGGAUUAGGGUUUAAAUAUUGUGACCAUUGAGCUGGUGAACGAGUCUCAUUCUCCCUCUCAUACAGACUCAGCGGCGGCGGCGGCGGCGGCAGCCUUCUUUCCGUCCACCGUUGUGAACCAAACCGGAGCGGCCUCAUCUCUUAUCUUCGAACUCAACUCUCCGAUUAGAUCUCCUCUCUCAGACGAAUCUCUCUCCGAUUCAAUCUCUCACUCGGUUCUCCUCUCGAAUCUUAAUAGAAAACCAAGGAACACGGUCUUCGCGCAGGGGAGGCCAAUUUCACUUCAGAGAGAUUUUUCUGUGGCUUGUUUGGUGAAUGAAGAAUCUGGAGAUGUUGUAUGGUGAAUCAAUCCACUAGAAAAUGAAGUUCUUCUCUCGGUUUUUCUGGCGUGAUCGCGAAGAGUAUCCGUUAUCCAAACCUAUUCCCAUAAUCUGUUUUCAAAACCAGUUAUCCAAACCGUUUUCCUUAACCCGGUUUUCAAACCACUUAUCCAAACCGUUUCCAAAACCCGGUUCUGAAACCAGAUAUCCAAACCGAUUCCUUAAACCGGUUUUGAAACCAGAUAUCCAAACCGUUUCCAAAACCCGGUUUUAAAACCAGAUAUCCAAACCGAUUCAUUAACCCGGUUUUGAAACCAGAUAUCCAAACCGAUUCCUUAACCCGGUUUCCGUAACUCGUUUUCAAAACCAGUUAUCCAAACCGUUUCCUUAACCCGGUUUUGAAACCAGUUAUCCAAACCG